Diospyros lotus (date-plum) is the source of this 6987-nucleotide long non-coding RNA. RefSeq lists it as uncharacterized. The transcript is spliced from 4 exons. The record is from RefSeq and is a predicted model, not a curated record. Lineage: Eukaryota; Viridiplantae; Streptophyta; Magnoliopsida; Ericales; Ebenaceae.
UUCGGCAGAGAGAGAGGCAGUGGGAUUAAGAGAGGAAGAGAGAUAAAUCGCGAGAGAAAGUGAGAGCAAGAUCGGGAGAUCGAAAGAGAGAGACGAAGCAACUAGAGCAAGCACGAAAGCUCGCGGCAGCCAUGGCCGCGAGCGGGAGGCCACGGCCGCUACAGUGUUCGGCAGCAGUCGCGACGGAGGGCGGCAAGGGAGGCUGGGAGGCGGCAGGAAGCUGCAAGCUGCGGCCAUGGCAGCCAUGGCCGCGAGCUCCAGCUGCGGCAGGGCUGCACUAGCCACGGCCAACAAUGGCCGCGAGCAGCUCCGAGCGACGACGGCUGUCUUGGCAGUUGCAGGUGGGCGCGGGAGGAAGAAACAGAGGAAGAGGAAGAAGGAGGGAGAAAGAAGAAAAGAAAAAGAAAAAAAAAAGAAAAGAAAAGAAAAGAAAGAAAAGAAAAGAAAAUAAGAAAAAUGAUGGGAAAAAUUUUAGAAAAAUUCUGAAAAAUAGAAAAUUAUGUUACGGUGAUAUCCCAGAGAUUUUGGUGAGAAAAACGGUUCGGGCACGCUUUUUGAGAAUAUGGCCCACAUAUCGAGGAAACUUGAAAUGCUGAGUUAAGGAUGCUUUAAGGUUGAAAUUAAAGAGACUCGUGCAAAUUUUGAGGAUGGCACGCAAAUCGAGGCAAGGCACGGAUUUCGAGGUAGCCCGAUAAGCUCUAGAAGGUAAGUAGUACUUCCUCGAAAAUGUUUUCAUCAUAUCGACAUGCCCUAAUAUGUAUCUAUCACGUAGAAUGCAUACAUGACUAUGAAAUGUAUGAAUAUACGUUGAUAUCAUUAAUCACACGCAUAUGAGGCCGUAUGGAGUACGAAUUGGCACUGCUGCCUUACCAAGAGUGCACCCAUACACCCCAGCUUCGAAAGAGGUGGCCGCUAAAAUGGUAGGUAGCAUGAGGGAUGCAGUUGACACCUACGAUGAAAGACAUUGCAUACACUCAUGACAUAGCAUUAUGUACCCUUACUUAGAUGGUUCAUCAUCUAACUUGGGUUCGCCUCUGGAACAUUCAACGUUCCAGUCGGGACUUGCAGAAAUGAUUUCGAGAUUGGUGAGAUGUAGUGACGCGAGACGUCGAGAGGCGAGUAAAUGUACCAUGUUAUGUUGUAAUAUGAGUAGUUUAAGAAUUAUGUACAUUGUAUUUAUUGUCAGACGCUUAUGAAUUAACUUUGUAAUGAAUGUCAUGUCUAGUAUGAGCAGGUUCGAUUCAACUUCCGCUUUGUAAAUCGUAUUUAUCUCUGGUGUGUAAAUUAAACACUAGAUAGGGCUUAGGGAAUUUUGGGAUAAUGUAAAGAUAAAAUAAUAAUAAUAAUAAUAAGACCCAUUUUUCUUAAGGUAUAACACGCCCGAGAAAGUGGGCUGUUACAGUUGGUAUCAAAGCUUAAGAUUAUUAGAAGCCCUAAGUGACUCAGAUGUGGUUGAUAUCGAAGUAAACCCUAUUGGAAGAUUAGGGAAUAACAAUUUUGAGACUUAAGAGGAUCCAAUAUUAAUAGUACCGUUAGUAGAAACCCCUAAGUGAGGUUUAAGGGAAAGAAAUUAAUGGUUCGUAAGACGAAAUCCCUGCUUGGAGAAUCGAGGGUUUUCGGUUGAAGGCUUAGAGGUUAUUGGAUUUAAGUGUUGAGUAAUGGAAGUACAUGUCUAGGCAAGUUCUGGCUAAGGAAAGACUUGGUAUUUAAGUGUGUCCAUUUGUGACCCACCUCUCUUUCCUGGGAAUUUACCUUGUUUACUAUUCACAUACAAACAUUAUUCCAGUAUACGAUUACUAUUCUCGAUGAAUAAGAAAAGCCUGAUGGACGCUAGUACAAUGAUCUAUCUAUUGAAGUUAGGAUCCGAUGAUAUGAUUCGGGUGUAAGGUUGAUUCGGUAACCAUGAUUAGAGAUCCGAGAGAAGUAGAGAUUGUUGAUUUGAGGUCAUUAGUCGAAAUCAUUGCGAUAAAUAAUAGGAUAGCUGGUAGUUAUCAAAAAUGAUUAAAUCAUGGGCGAUUAGUCUGAUAUGACAUAGCGUAGAUGUUAAGUUAGGAUCGAAUGAUAAGUAUUUUGAAGAUCGUUUAAUAUUCGGAAAUAGGAUAUAUAGAUCAGAGAUCCAGCGGUUUAAGUCAAGCAAGAGGCCGAAGAUGGUCAAAUGAUGGCAUAUGAGUUGUGUUAAUUAAUGAGCUGGCAGUGGUGUAACCGAUGUGACAAGUAGAGAUGGGUUAAGGAACUUUAGCAGCGUGAUAGCACUACUGGUUCUGUGUUCGCAGUGACAGAUCUGGAUUUAGGGACCCACGUGCAAAUGGCUGAUGAAUGGCUUGCGAUAAGAUACAGGAAGCCCGUCGAUCGAAGCAUCAUAGUAAACUGCUUGGGAGACAAUCAGAUGUUGAAGAUCUAGGGCAACCCAGUAGGGUCUGUACCUUGUAAGAGUCUAAGCCCCAAUGGUCUAAGAGCGAAGUGUACCACUAGCUGUGAUUGAUUGAGGCCAAAGAAUCAACUCGAAUGAAAUGGAUUGAAUAUGAAUCAAGUGUCGUAUUUAAAGAAUUGUAUCGGGGUUCGCAGUCAUCGUGGGAGUGGGUGACAUGACGAACAGUGCAAGGCUCGAGGAAUAGAAUACCUCGGUAUCUAGUAUGAUAAUAGGGUCAUGAAUGGUCGUGUGCCAAUAGCCAGCUGAUCAAAAUGCGAGAGUCAAUGAAAUUCUCGGUACACGAGACUAUGACCAGUUCAAGGCCUUGGCGAUAAAUAGUGAGAUAGCAACAUUGGUUCGAGUAGAGUUCAGGUAUCCAAAAAAAAAAAAUGAAAGAGUUUCUUAAUAGGUCGUAUCGACCCUAAUGAUAAAGAGACCUAACCAACAGAGGUUGUGACUACGGUUCGAUGUGCCAAGUGGACUUGAGGAUUCGAAAGUCUAUAAGAGAAGACUUGCGAAUAAGUUAUGCCUUAUGUAUCGGUAUGUGGACCUAUAUCGUUAUUUGAGGUUUAAAGUAUCAUUCGGUAAAGAGUUCUUGCGAGUAUAAGGUUCGGUUGUUUUAAUAAUUAGAACCAGGUAACGUGAUCUGAGUAGAGAUCUUCAAAGAUGAAUCGAUUUCAGAUUUUCGAGGAAUUUCCCCUAAGGGAUGAGAAUCUAAGGAUUUGUGAUGAGACUUUAAAGUUUUUCAAAAAAAAAAAAAAAUCCAGCAAGGAUUGGAGUGCCGUAUGUGACGAAGGUACCUGCCUGCUCUAACUGGUAGUAUAAUUAUGGAUUGUUAUCUAGAAGAUUGUGCGAAUCUUAGAUGUGAUAAAGGGAAUCAAGUGAUAACAGAUGUGCCAGGAUGACGGGUUGCGAUAGGAAAUGCUGCAGGCCUAGAUCGAUUUGAAAUUCAAGAUUUCGAUUUUGGAGAAUGAAACCCUCGUAUGACUAGAUGGUCAGUCUAGGUAGCCCUGAUAGGCAAAUCGGGAGAUAUAUAGCUGAGUUAUGUUAGCAAGUUAUGGUUAUAAGGAGCCUAUUGAUUUGUGGCACUGGCAUUUGCGGUUAGUAAAAAGUUGUAAAAAAAAAAAAAAAAACCAAAAGAUAGUCUCAGAAGGUUUUUCAGAUUUAUUUUAAUGAUGAAAUUGUCAAUAAUAGAUUGAGGUUAUUAGAUGCUUAGCUAUGAGUGGUUUGAUGGAGAACGUAAAUUAUCGGGGUUUGAAAAAUGUGAUAAUUAAGAGUCGAUAUCUUUACCUCGAACUUGAUGAAUUAUUAAACAGGUACAAGAGGUUAUGAUAUUUUCUAGGAUUGAUAAACGAUCGAGAAGUAAAGUAGACCCUUGUAAUGUUAAGGUUACGUGUGACGCUCCUCAAUUGUGAUGCUUGAGAGUAAAUGGUCCUAAGAUUUUGGUUCGAUGAUAAUGAUGUCAUAGAUUGAGUGGACUAAAAGGCUAAAAUAGUACGAAUAAAGUUAAUAGGACUAUUACCAGGAUAAGUAGACAAUAGAGUCGAUGAUCAAAUCUAGAGGUUGUGAGUUGGUAAGUGAACUUGUGCUACGGUUGAUUGGACGUCAAGAGAACCGAUGGUUAGAUGCGAAGAAAGCAAUCAGACGAUUUUUGUACGAUAAAGUGUGGUUGGCAUAAGAUGGUGUCUUAAGGAUAAAGCUAGUUGAUAUGAGACGUUAUUACUCGAGGAUUAAUUCAAGCAAAUUUGAGGAUCAAAUGAUUAAUCGUAUAUGAAAUGUUAUUUGAGGAUCACUUCGAAAAGUGCGAGGAGUUAUGGAUGAAUGGGUUUUGGUUGGCGACUAAGUAACAAGGAGCAGGCGGUGUAAGGAUAUUAGUAUUAUUAGAUUUGGAAGAAAACGUUAAAUUUCGGUGGAUAUUAAAAGUUAGAAAGGAAGAUUUGGAGACAGAUAGAAUCUAUUAAUUUCUUAAUGAGAUAGUUAUGUGACUUGACUAGAAAAUGAUUAUGGUCAAUUGUCAAAAACUUGAGAUUAUAUCAGGAGAUGAAUACCUACAAGAAUGAGGAAACAACAAAAAUCUCGAAUAGAUUAGCAUAAGUAAAGAUUAAGCAACGAUUAAGUUUGUGAUGACUUAAGGAGAGACAUAGCUAGUUUCGAGGACAUGUGAUAACCGAGAUGAUAUGAUAAGACCACUGACUUGUUAUAGCAAUCUGGAAGCCUAUGAAACAACCUCGUGAUGACAAGAUAUGGAUGUUUGAGGAUUUAAAGAUGCAUGAUAUAAUAAUAAAAAAAAAUGAGGAUCGAUUCUAUAAAAGUCAAGAUGUAUCGAGGUCAGGGACUGUUGUGCUAAGGUUGGAACAUUAUCAAACCAUGAUUAAUUAGUUCAAGAGAAUUAACGUCGUAAAAAAAAAAAAAUCGAUAAUAGAGAAGUGACAAGAAUAAGGAUAUCGACUAGAUGACUCAGUGAAAAGCAAAUUGAAAAUUGAGGAUGUGGAUAUGAGAGCCGUGGAUUCAUUAUAAUGAUGUGAGUAUCGGCAUGGAUGGGAGUUUAGGUUAAGGCUCAUGGUCCAAGAACCGAGUUAUGCAGUUGUGAUUUGAAAGGUAUGCAUGGUUGACAAGUGUACUUGUCUAAGAAUUGAUAAGUGUGGUUAGCCCAAGAAUUCUAAUUUCAAGGUUUAGAAUGUGGUAAAUUUCGAGGACAAAAUUUUUGUAAGGAGGGGAGAAUGUAAUACCCCAUGAUUAGAUAAGGUUGCCACGUAAUUUUAAUAAGUUUAGAACACUGAAAAAUUGAUUUUAUAGCAAUUUUAGGUACCGAAUCAACUGCCGGGAAUGCCUCGGAGUGAAAUUAUCUAAAGAAAAUUAUAUAGCCUCGAAAAGCGUAUCGAGUUAUGAUUUAUGGUAUCAAAAGAAAUCGGAUCGGGAACAGUUUUCGGUACAGAUAAAAUACAGCUGCUAAUUAGGCUGUAAAACCGAAUUGUCGUAGGAGACUCCCAAAAAAUCAACGGAACCUUAGGGGGGCUCCGAUUUUGUUUAACGAGCAACCCUUCAAUGGUCUUGGGAUGAAACGACAACCCGAUGAGGACAAUGGGGCAAAAUCGUCCAAAUCGAGUACCUUUAAAGUUAUUAAUUUUGCGUUUUCUGUAUCGAAAUACAAUUUUAUUCAGUGUUUGAGGGUAUAAUUGAAAUUACGGAGUUGCCCAAGUGAUAUAAGAUGAAAAUCAGAAUUUAAUGGUGUAAUUUCUUAAAAAUAGUAAUAUAAUAUAUAGUGUACAUAUGUAUAUAUAAAUACGAGCGUGCAUCUGUAACUUAACAUGCCCUGCAACACGCUGCUUCAAGCCAUGACCUGCAACAUUUGGAUGAAUUUGCACGCAAUAGGUGACGUGUGGCGGCAAAUUGAGUAUGCCAUACGCAUGGAGAGUCCGCGUUGCCUAUAAAUAGCAAGCAAAUGAAGAAGAAAUGGCAAUGAGCCUCAGAACUUCGGCCGAGAGAGAGGCAGUGGGAUUAAGAGAGGAAGAGAGAUAAAUCGCGAGAGAGAGUGAGAGCAAGAUCGGGAGAUCGAAAGAGAGAGCCGAAGCAACUAGAGCAAGCGCGAAAGCUCGCGGCAGCCAUGGCCGCGAGCUUCCAGCAAGCUCGAGCGGCCAUGGCCGCGAGCGGGAGGCCACGGCUGCUAUAGUGUUUGGCAGCAGUCGCGACGGAGAGCGGCGAGGGAGGCUGGGAGGCGGCAGGAAGCUGCAAGCCGCUGCCAUGGCCGCGAGCUCCAGCUGCGGCAGGGCUGCACCAGCCACGGCCAACAAUGGCCGCGAGCAGCUCCCAGCGACGGCGGCUGUCUCGGCAGUUGCAGGCGGGCGCGGGAGGAAGAAACAGAGGAAGAGGAAGAAGGAGGGAGAAAGAGAAAAAAAAAAAAGAAAAGAAAAGAAAAGAAAGAAAAGAAAAGAAAAUAAGAAAAAUGAUGGGAAAAAUUUUAGAAAAAUUCUGAAAAAUAGAAAAUUAUGUUACGGUGAUAUCCCAGAGAUUUUGGUGAGAAAAACGGCUCGGGCACGCUUUUUGAGAAUAUGGCACGCAUAUCGAGGAAACUGGAAAUGCUGAGUUAAGGAUGCUUUAAGGUUGAAAUUAAAGAGACUCAUGCAAAUUUUGAGGAUGGCACGCAAAUCGAGGCAAGGCACGGAUUUCGAGGUAGCCCGAUAAGCUCUAGAAGGUAAGAGUAAAGCUAAAGUAGAGAGCGAGCCAAGAGAAUCAGGAUUCAUGGGAUAGCGGUGUGUACAGAGCCGUCUCAACCAAAGGUUCUUGGGGGUGUUUUGGGUGCAUAAAAAUUAAGUCAUGCAUGUUUAUGUUUCAGGUAAGACUCAAGGGGAUAUGGUGGAUUUAUGAGCCCUGAUGUGAUGUGUAAUAUUAAGUUAUUUUUUUUGAGUAAGUGGGCACCAUUAUGUUGUAUAUGAGUAAUAAUCUAUUAGUAUGGUCUCCGUUGUCAAUAGGGGCGUGAAAUGUUCUAAUGGGUUCUGACUUUUAUGUCAUUUUGUUGUGGGUCCCUGGCGAGAGGCCUCUACAAUACAUAUAUAUAUAUAUUUGUAGUACUGUGCGAA